Molecule: ribosomal RNA, 712 nt
Filed under: uncultured Bacilli bacterium
Lineage: Bacteria; Bacillati; Bacillota; Bacilli
Description: bacterial SSU rRNA
Rfam family: Bacterial small subunit ribosomal RNA
Source: RNAcentral
GCUCCACCGGAAAAAGAGGAGUGGCGAACGGGUGAGUAACACGUGGGUAACCUGCCCAUCAGAAGGGGAUAACACUUGGAAACAGGUGCUAAUACCGUAUAACAAUCGAAACCGCAUGGUUUUGAUUUGAAAGGCGCUUUCGGGUGUCGCUGAUGGAUGGACCCGCGGUGCAUUAGCUAGUUGGUGAGGUAACGGCUCACCAAGGCCACGAUGCAUAGCCGACCUGAGAGGGUGAUCGGCCACAUUGGGACUGAGACACGGCCCAAACUCCUACGGGAGGCAGCAGUAGGGAAUCUUCGGCAAUGGACGAAAGUCUGACCGAGCAACGCCGCGUGAGUGGAGAAGGUUUUCGGAUCGUAAAACUCUGUUGUUAGAGAAGAACAAGGAUGAGAGUAACUGUUCAUCCCUUGACGGUAUCUAACCAGAAAGCCACGGCUAACUACGUGCCAGCAGCCGCGGUAAUACGUAGGUGGCAAGCGUUGUCCGGAUUUAUUGGGCGUAAAGCGAGCGCAGGCGGUUUCUUAAGUCUGAUGUGAAAGCCCCCGGCUCAACCGGGGAGGGUCAUUGGAAACUGGGAGACUUGAGUGCAGAAGAGGAGAGUGGAAUUCCAUGUGUAGCGGUGAAAUGCGUAGAUAUAUGGAGGAACACCAGUGGCGAAGGCGGCUCUCUGGUCUGUAACUGACGCUGAGGCUCGAAGCGUGGGGAGCAAACA